RNAcentral lists this ribosomal RNA (120 nucleotides) under Chelon ramada (thin-lipped mullet). Lineage: Eukaryota; Metazoa; Chordata; Actinopteri; Mugiliformes; Mugilidae. The record is from RNAcentral. RNAcentral also lists the same sequence under 10 other names.
GCUUACGGCCAUACCACCCUGAACACGCCCGAUCUCGUCUGAUCUCGGAAGCUAAGCAGGGUCGGGCCUGGUUAGUACUUGGAUGGGAGACCGCCUGGGAAUACCAGGUGCUGUAAGCUU